UGGGGAAUUUUGGACAAUGGGCGAAAGCCUGAUCCAGCAAUGCCGCGUGCAGGAAGAAGGCCUUCGGGUUGUAAACUGCUUUUGUACGGAACGAAACGGCCCUUUCUAAUAAAGAGGGCUAAUGACGGUACCGUAAGAAUAAGCACCGGCUAACUACGUGCCAGCAGCCGCGGUAAUACGUAGGGUGCGAGCGUUAAUCGGAAUUACUGGGCGUAAAGCGUGCGCAGGCGGUUCUAUAAGACAGAUGUGAAAUCCCCGGGCUCAACCUGGGAAUGGCAUUUGUGACUGUAGAGCUAGAGUACGGUAGAGGGGGAUGGAAUUCCGCGUGUAGCAGUGAAAUGCGUAGAUAUGCGGAGGAACACCGAUGGCGAAGGCAAUCCCCUGGACCUGUACUGACGCUCAUGCACGAAAGCGUGGGGAGCAAACA
RNAcentral lists this ribosomal RNA (427 nucleotides) under uncultured Comamonadaceae bacterium. Its description in RNAcentral is "bacterial SSU rRNA". It matches the Rfam family "Bacterial small subunit ribosomal RNA", at positions 355 to 774 of the family's 1533-position model. Lineage: Bacteria; Pseudomonadati; Pseudomonadota; Betaproteobacteria; Burkholderiales; Comamonadaceae. The record is from RNAcentral.